UUCUAUAGCGGAAGGUGAAGGAGGAGAUAUAGUAAACUCCCUAAAGGUCUGUAUGGGUAAAACCUCAUAUAUAUCAAGAGGGUCAGAAUGGUCAGAAGAGGUAAAGAAAGGUUUAGACUCAAAAAAUGUGACAUCGGCUGACAUAAAGUACCUACGAAGAUCAGGUGAAUAACAACGAUAGCCCUUCUGAGCACGAGAAUAACCAAGGAAGACACACUUGAGAGCACGANNNNNNNNNNNNNNNNNNNNNNAGAUAUAGCCAGAUGGUCAGAAUGGUCAGAAGAGGUAAAGAAAGGCUUAGACUCAAAAAAUGUGACAUCGGCUAACAUAAGGUACCUACGAAGAUCAGGUGAAUAACAACGAUAGCCCUUCUGGGCACGAGAAUAACCAAGGAAGACUUUGCGAGCAUGAGGAGCUAACUUAUCAUUCCCAGGGGCUAAGUUAUGAACGAAACAAGUGCUCCCAAAAAUACGAGGGGAACA
RNAcentral lists this long non-coding RNA (482 nucleotides) under Nicotiana benthamiana. RNAcentral describes it as "long non-coding RNA (NBEN_LNC030461)". The record is from RNAcentral. Lineage: Eukaryota; Viridiplantae; Streptophyta; Magnoliopsida; Solanales; Solanaceae.